Aethalodelphis obliquidens (Pacific white-sided dolphin) is the source of this 2196-nucleotide RNA transcript. It is a transcript of the gene named translocase of inner mitochondrial membrane 10B, with no coding region annotated. The transcript has 6 exons. The record is from RefSeq and is a predicted model, not a curated record. NCBI's taxonomy places the organism in Eukaryota, Metazoa, Chordata, Mammalia, Artiodactyla, Delphinidae.
UGGGGGCAGGGCUAUCCUGGAGCCAACCUCUCUGUCCCUGGGGAGUCACAAGAGGUCACUUCCGGGGCGUUACCGAGAAGCUGUGAAGGAAGUGACGUAGGGCACGCGCCGGUGGCGUGAUGGAGCAGCAGCAGCAGCAACAGCAGCAGCAGCUCAGAAACCUGCGGGACUUCCUGUUGGUCUACAAUCGGAUGACGGAACUCUGCUUCCAGCGCUGCGUGCCCAGCCUGCACCACCGAGCUCUGGAUGCUGAGGAGGAGGCCUGUCUGCACAGCUGUGCUGGGAAGCUGAUCCAUUCCAACCACCGCCUCAUGGCCGCUUACGUGCAGCUCAUGCCUGCCCUGGUACAGCGCCGCAUCGCAGACUACGAGGCUGCCUCAUCUGUGCCAGGUGUUGCUGCCGAACAGCCCGAAACCUCGCCAUCAGGGAGCUAGCCGUCCCCAACCCCGGGAAGGGAGGCACCGGAUGGACCCUCAUAUUUAAGGAGCCAGUGGACCUUGGGCUGGGUGCGACCUGUAUAUAGAAAGUGAGGAGUUGCCUGAGAGCUAGGUACUGUUGCUCCUUUUCCUGGAGCUAAUAAACCCACUUUUACUUUGUUUGGUUUAUAUUCUGGGCAAGGAAGCUUUGCCCACUUGAUUGACACCAUCUUUAUUAUUCUGUCAGGAUGCUUCAGCCCUGGCAGCAGAGAAAUUGCCUUCAAUGUGUAGAAGGAAAACGUCAGCAUUCCCAGGCACCUGGUUAAAGCGACAUCUGAAGGAUUCUUAUUUGUGCCCUCAUUGAACCCUUUUAUGUCUCGUUCACCAUUACGUCCACAGCACUUGGUAGAGUGCCAUAAACAACAACAAAAGCACGCAGCUCACACAGCUAGGUGUGUCCAUGUGAUCGAGUGAUGCAUGCAUUGCCAGGUUGUGCCCUUAAGGGUAAGGGUGGGCCUUCUCCUACUCUUUCCCCCAUCUCACUACUUGGGAUGAGGCCCAACACACAUGGUGGUGAACUGUCUUGGACCUUGAAGAUAAGGACCACUUCCUUGAAGAAGGCAGAACAACUAAAAGGCUGCCAUAUUAGCCCUGGAGUACUUAUUCCUGGACAGUUGUGUGAGAGAAAAAGGAGUUUUCUCUGGCUGGAUGCAGAAGAGAAUGUCAGAAAGAUUUGAAACAUAAGAAGGAUUUGAGGCACUGCUGCUGGUUUGAAGAUGAAGGUGCCAUAUGGCAAGGAAGACAGGUGGCCUCUAGGACCUGAGAGUGGCCCCUGAGGCCCAGGAGGAAACAGGGACCUCAGUCCCACAACCACAAGAAACUGAAUCCUGUCAACAACAAGAAUGAGCUUGGAGGAGGAUUUUCCCCCAGAGCCUCCAGACAAGAACUCAGCCCAGAUGACCUUUCAGGCUUAUGAUAUCCUGAGCAGAGAACCCAGUCAGGCCAUGCUGGGCAUCGAUGUACAGAACUGUGAGAUACUAAAUGGAUGUUGUUUUAAAGCUGCUUAGUUUGUGGCAAUUGGUUACACAGCCACAGAAAACUUCUCUGUCUUCUAAAUGAACCGUAAGCAGAGAUGUACUGUAUGAAGGCUCUGGCGGGGGUGGGGGGGGGGAGCAUGCUCAGUGUGAUCCAGGCACAGAGGAGUGGUGUGAAUAGGGAUAGAUGGUCAAAAGGCCACAGAGGUAGCAGCCAGCUGAUGAGAUAGCAAAUUGUAGGCUGUGUAGGACUUUGGCUUUCCUGAGGGAAUGAGAUGAUAAGGCAUUAGUGAGUUUUGAGCAGAGGAGUCAUAGGAUCUGCCUGUAUUUGAAAAAGGUCACUGGCUGCUCUGAAAAGAGCAGAUUGUAGGGGCAAGGGAGGAAACAGAGACCAGUUAGAAGUCUAUGGAAUAAUCUAGGUGAGAGGUGAUAGUGGCCUAGACCAAGGUUUAGCUCUUGGGGUGGUGAGAAAUAGUUGGAUUUUGGAUAUAUUUUGAAGCUAUAGCUUAACAAAAUUUGCUAAAGCAUUAGACAUGGGAUGUGUGUGGGGGGAGAGGGGAGUCAAAGGUGACGCUAAAUUUUGACCCAAGCAACUGGAAAAAUGGACUUGGUAUUUACUGAGAUGGGGAAGACAGUGAAAGGAACAGGUUUAUUUGGAAGGAGGCAGUUAGGAGUCUGGUUUUGGACAUUUUAAGUUUUUAAGUUUGGGAUUCUUAUCAGAUUUAUAAAGCAGAGGUGGGACUCUA